Non-coding RNA from Podarcis lilfordi (Lilford's wall lizard), 71 nucleotides. Lineage: Eukaryota; Metazoa; Chordata; Lepidosauria; Squamata; Lacertidae. The record is from the annotation of a GenBank genome assembly.
GCCACUCGUUUGGUUGGUAGAGCAUGAGUCUCUGAAUCCCAGGGUUGUGGGUUCGAGCCCCAGAUUGGGCA